RNAcentral lists this ribosomal RNA (433 nucleotides) under uncultured bacterium. RNAcentral's name for it is "partial 16S ribosomal RNA". It matches the Rfam family "Bacterial small subunit ribosomal RNA", at positions 29 to 507 of the family's 1533-position model. The record is from RNAcentral.
AACGAACGCUGGCGGCAUGCCUAACACAUGCAAGUCGAACGAGACCUUCGGGUCUAGUGGCGCACGGGUGCGUAACGCGUGGGAACCUGCCCUUAGGUUCGGCAUAACUCCCCGAAAGGGGUGCUAAUACCGGAUAAUGUCUUCGGACCAAAGAUUUAUCGCCUUUGGAUGGGCCCGCGUUGGAUUAGCUAGUUGGUAGGGUAAAAGCCUACCAAGGCGACGAUCCAUAGCUGGUCUGAGAGGAUGAUCAGCCACACUGGGACUGAGACACGGCCCAGACUCCUACGGGAGGCAGCAGUGGGGAAUAUUGGACAAUGGGCGAAAGCCUGAUCCAGCAAUGCCGCGUGAGUGAUGAAGGCCGUAGGGUUGUAAAGCUCUUUUACCCGGGAUGAUAAUGACAGUACCGGGAGAAUAAGCUCCGGCUAACUCCGUG